This 2932-nucleotide ribosomal RNA is filed under the name Escherichia coli. Its description in RNAcentral is "23S ribosomal RNA". It matches the Rfam family "Bacterial large subunit ribosomal RNA". The record is from RNAcentral. Lineage: Bacteria; Pseudomonadati; Pseudomonadota; Gammaproteobacteria; Enterobacterales; Enterobacteriaceae.
GGGUUGUGAGGUUAAGCGACUAAGCGUACACGGUGGAUGCCCUGGCAGUCAGAGGCGAUGAAGGACGUGCUAAUCUGCGAUAAGCGUCGGUAAGGUGAUAUGAACCGUUAUAACCGGCGAUUUCCGAAUGGGGAAACCCAGUGUGUUUCGACACACUAUCAUUAACUGAAUCCAUAGGUUAAUGAGGCGAACCGGGGGAACUGAAACAUCUAAGUACCCCGAGGAAAAGAAAUCAACCGAGAUUCCCCCAGUAGCGGCGAGCGAACGGGGAGCAGCCCAGAGCCUGAAUCAGUGUGUGUGUUAGUGGAAGCGUCUGGAAAGGCGCGCGAUACAGGGUGACAGCCCCGUACACAAAAAUGCACAUGCUGUGAGCUCGAUGAGUAGGGCGGGACACGUGGUAUCCUGUCUGAAUAUGGGGGGACCAUCCUCCAAGGCUAAAUACUCCUGACUGACCGAUAGUGAACCAGUACCGUGAGGGAAAGGCGAAAAGAACCCCGGCGAGGGGAGUGAAAAAGAACCUGAAACCGUGUACGUACAAGCAGUGGGAGCACGCUUAGGCGUGUGACUGCGUACCUUUUGUAUAAUGGGUCAGCGACUUAUAUUCUGUAGCAAGGUUAACCGAAUAGGGGAGCCGAAGGGAAACCGAGUCUUAACUGGGCGUUAAGUUGCAGGGUAUAGACCCGAAACCCGGUGAUCUAGCCAUGGGCAGGUUGAAGGUUGGGUAACACUAACUGGAGGACCGAACCGACUAAUGUUGAAAAAUUAGCGGAUGACUUGUGGCUGGGGGUGAAAGGCCAAUCAAACCGGGAGAUAGCUGGUUCUCCCCGAAAGCUAUUUAGGUAGCGCCUCGUGAAUUCAUCUCCGGGGGUAGAGCACUGUUUCGGCAAGGGGGUCAUCCCGACUUACCAACCCGAUGCAAACUGCGAAUACCGGAGAAUGUUAUCACGGGAGACACACGGCGGGUGCUAACGUCCGUCGUGAAGAGGGAAACAACCCAGACCGCCAGCUAAGGUCCCAAAGUCAUGGUUAAGUGGGAAACGAUGUGGGAAGGCCCAGACAGCCAGGAUGUUGGCUUAGAAGCAGCCAUCAUUUAAAGAAAGCGUAAUAGCUCACUGGUCGAGUCGGCCUGCGCGGAAGAUGUAACGGGGCUAAACCAUGCACCGAAGCUGCGGCAGCGACACUAUGUGUUGUUGGGUAGGGGAGCGUUCUGUAAGCCUGUGAAGGUGUGCUGUGAGGCAUGCUGGAGGUAUCAGAAGUGCGAAUGCUGACAUAAGUAACGAUAAAGCGGGUGAAAAGCCCGCUCGCCGGAAGACCAAGGGUUCCUGUCCAACGUUAAUCGGGGCAGGGUGAGUCGACCCCUAAGGCGAGGCCGAAAGGCGUAGUCGAUGGGAAACAGGUUAAUAUUCCUGUACUUGGUGUUACUGCGAAGGGGGGACGGAGAAGGCUAUGUUGGCCGGGCGACGGUUGUCCCGGUUUAAGCGUGUAGGCUGGUUUUCCAGGCAAAUCCGGAAAAUCAAGGCUGAGGCGUGAUGACGAGGCACUACGGUGCUGAAGCAACAAAUGCCCUGCUUCCAGGAAAAGCCUCUAAGCAUCAGGUAACAUCAAAUCGUACCCCAAACCGACACAGGUGGUCAGGUAGAGAAUACCAAGGCGCUUGAGAGAACUCGGGUGAAGGAACUAGGCAAAAUGGUGCCGUAACUUCGGGAGAAGGCACGCUGAUAUGUAGGUGAAGCGACUUGCUCGUGGAGCUGAAAUCAGUCGAAGAUACCAGCUGGCUGCAACUGUUUAUUAAAAACACAGCACUGUGCAAACACGAAAGUGGACGUAUACGGUGUGACGCCUGCCCGGUGCCGGAAGGUUAAUUGAUGGGGUUAGCCGCAAGGCGAAGCUCUUGAUCGAAGCCCCGGUAAACGGCGGCCGUAACUAUAACGGUCCUAAGGUAGCGAAAUUCCUUGUCGGGUAAGUUCCGACCUGCACGAAUGGCGUAAUGAUGGCCAGGCUGUCUCCACCCGAGACUCAGUGAAAUUGAACUCGCUGUGAAGAUGCAGUGUACCCGCGGCAAGACGGAAAGACCCCGUGAACCUUUACUAUAGCUUGACACUGAACAUUGAGCCUUGAUGUGUAGGAUAGGUGGGAGGCUUAGAAGUGUGGACGCCAGUCUGCAUGGAGCCGACCUUGAAAUACCACCCUUUAAUGUUUGAUGUUCUAACGUUGACCCGUAAUCCGGGUUGCGGACAGUGUCUGGUGGGUAGUUUGACUGGGGCGGUCUCCUCCUAAAGAGUAACGGAGGAGCACGAAGGUUGGCUAAUCCUGGUCGGACAUCAGGAGGUUAGUGCAAUGGCAUAAGCCAGCUUGACUGCGAGCGUGACGGCGCGAGCAGGUGCGAAAGCAGGUCAUAGUGAUCCGGUGGUUCUGAAUGGAAGGGCCAUCGCUCAACGGAUAAAAGGUACUCCGGGGAUAACAGGCUGAUACCGCCCAAGAGUUCAUAUCGACGGCGGUGUUUGGCACCUCGAUGUCGGCUCAUCACAUCCUGGGGCUGAAGUAGGUCCCAAGGGUAUGGCUGUUCGCCAUUUAAAGUGGUACGCGAGCUGGGUUUAGAACGUCGUGAGACAGUUCGGUCCCUAUCUGCCGUGGGCGCUGGAGAACUGAGGGGGGCUGCUCCUAGUACGAGAGGACCGGAGUGGACGCAUCACUGGUGUUCGGGUUGUCAUGCCAAUGGCACUGCCCGGUAGCUAAAUGCGGAAGAGAUAAGUGCUGAAAGCAUCUAAGCACGAAACUUGCCCCGAGAUGAGUUCUCCCUGACUCCUUGAGAGUCCUGAAGGAACGUUGAAGACGACGACGUUGAUAGGCCGGGUGUGUAAGCGCAGCGAUGCGUUGAGCUAACCGGUACUAAUGAACCGUGAGGCUUAACCUUACAACGCCGAAGGUGUUU